CUGGCGGCGUGCCUAAUACAUGCAAGUCAACGGUCUUUCUAUGGAAGCUUGCUUCCACUGAGAAGAUAGUGGCGAACGGGUGAGUAACACGUGGGUAGCCUGCCCAUAAGAGGGGGAUAACAUCCGGAAACGGGUGCUAAUACCGCAUAGUUUUCUUGAUCGCAUGAUCGGGAAAGGAAAGACGGCCUUUGUGCUGUCGCUUAUGGACGGACCCGCGGCGUAUUAGUUAGUUGGUGAGGUAACGGCUCACCAAGACGAUGAUACGUAGCCGACCUGAGAGGGUGAUCGGCCACAUUGGGACUGAGACACGGCCCAAACUCCUACGGGAGGCAGCAGUAGGGAAUCUUCCGCAAUGGACGAAAGUCUGACGGAGCAACGCCGCGUGAGUGAAGAAAAGGUUUUCGGAUCGUAAAACUCUGUUGUCAGAGAAGAACAAGUUGGAGAGUAACUGCUCCAGCCUUGACGGUAUCUGACCAGAAAGCCACGGCUAACUACGUGCCAGCCGCCGC
RNAcentral lists this ribosomal RNA (509 nucleotides) under uncultured bacterium. RNAcentral describes it as "bacterial SSU rRNA". It matches the Rfam family "Bacterial small subunit ribosomal RNA", at positions 36 to 518 of the family's 1533-position model. The record is from RNAcentral.